Non-coding RNA from Lactuca sativa (garden lettuce), 2063 nucleotides. NCBI's taxonomy places the organism in Eukaryota, Viridiplantae, Streptophyta, Magnoliopsida, Asterales, Asteraceae. The record is from RefSeq and is a predicted model, not a curated record.
CCUUUGUCUCUCGUGUCGCCAAAAUCAAAAGAACACGGUUCCAAAGUCGCCACGUAACCCACCCUCACCGAUCGACGCAAUUUAUCAGUAGUUCACUACGUCUAUUCAAUCCAUAUCUCAUGUUCUCUUCUACUUCUACGCCUCCCUUCUACACAUCGACAUAUCCACCAAUUCCCCCAUCUCUUUUUACAACACAUCCGACUUUGUCCCCAAAAGGAAUCCGACCAUAUCAUCCACCCAAAAAAAAAACCUAAUUCGUUGUGCAAAUAUUCAACCAACUCAUUUAUGCCGAUUGUAGAUUGAUUGUUGGUCCUUGAUUCUUCAAAAAAAGGUUAUAUUUCAUUCGGUUUUCACUUAAAUUACAUCAUCCCCCAAAUAAGUCCUAAUUUUUAUCGUUUGAAAUUGGCUAUCUUGUUGAAUGCGGAGCCAAAGAGGAACGAUUCAAUCGUUCAUCUUCUACCACCAUGUUUGCUAUUGGUAUAUUAUCUUCACGAACCCUAAUUGAUUUUUGGCAAAUAUUUUUGUUCCUUCGCUUCAUAUUUCUCUGUCAAUCAAAACGAUAACACCGUCGACUUUCAAUUUUGGAAAACCCUCACUUUAAAUUUCCAGAUUAUCCGUCUUCAUUUAAGACGGUGGGUGGGUUUUCAGACGGCGAUAUCAAUUAUUUUUGAAGAAACUUUGUGCAACGCGUUUCAAUUCCAUCCAGAAACUAUAUGAACGGUCGGUGUUCCUUCUCCCGAUUGUCACAUACAUUUUCUAAAUAUGUCUUUGCAUUUUCAUUUUGUGUUGAUUCUCUAUGCUUUUGGGGUUUGUAGGAUAAUCAAAUUUGGAGAUAGCCAGAUAGGUUUUCGAUUUUUCUGAUGAACGUUCAUGAUUUCAUCCUGAUUUUCACUUCUUAUUUGCUAAUAUGGUUUUUCUUUGUGUCGUGUGAAUGAUAGAAACUGAUAUUGACUUCAAUUUCAAAGAAGUGGAAGCCCAACUUAGGAUAUCAACUACUAAUGAUGUUUCUGGUUCCUCCUCCCCCAACAACUUCUUACUCUUAAACAUCUGCUCGAGGGUUACCUUUGAUGACACCAAUUACUAUGAUUGGAUGUGUAACAUUAAGAUGGCUAUAUGCUUCGAGGAGAAAUAGUAUGUGCUCGAAAAGGAACUCCUUGAGAUUGAUGAAACUAAAGCUACUCCUGAAGAUCAAGCUGAGUAUAAGAGAUACUACAACGAUGCUACCAAAGUGGCAUGCAUCAUGGUGGCUACUAUGACUCCUGAGCUUCAAAGGUUCUAUGAUGAUUUCUGGCCAUACGAGAUGAACAAGGACUUGGUGGAAAAGUACCACGAACAAGUUUGUCAAGAAAAGUAUGAGGUAGUAAAGUCCAUCAUCACCAGAAAAAUGAAAGAUGGAGAGUCUAUCAGUAGCCACUUGCAAAGAAUGCAAAGAUAUGUGGAAUGCUUGGUGAAGCUAAAUGUGAAUGUUGAUGACGAAUUGGCUAUUGAUAUAGUCUUGCACUCAUUGCCUAGUUGUUAUGACCAGUUCAUCAUGAGUUAUCAUUUGAAAAACCAAGAGACCACAUUGGCUCGACUUCAGAACCUGCUGCGAACUGCUAAAACUGGAAUGAAAGGAAAAAAGUGUUGCCUCCACUCCUACUACUACUCAUGUCUUGUCCAUAUGGAAAGGAAAAGGGGAGAAGAGGAAAGCUCAUCGUAAGAAGAAUUGGAAGGGAAAGUCUCAACCUGGGUCCUUAAGUAAUGGAUAUAAAGGAAAGACCAAUUCUGAAGCUCCCUUUGCCUCUGAUCCUAAGGAGUCUACAUGCUUUUAUUAUCAUGAGAAAGGGCAAUGGAAACAAAGUUGCCCUAAAUACUUGCAAGACAUAAAGGAUGCCAAGGGGCUAAAAAGAAGCGAGGAUGUGGAGCAUGGGAAGAUGAACUCGGUCAUGGGAAAUAGGAGAUCAUCACCUAUAACGAAGAUAGGUGUUUAUUCGUUAGUUCUUAGUAAUGGGUAAUGUUUAGAUUUGAAAAUUGUUGCUAUUUGUCAGAGAUGACACGAAACAUCAAUUCAUUUCAUGCUUUAU